This 2903-nucleotide ribosomal RNA is filed under the name Escherichia coli. RNAcentral's name for it is "23S ribosomal RNA". It matches the Rfam family "Bacterial large subunit ribosomal RNA". Lineage: Bacteria; Pseudomonadati; Pseudomonadota; Gammaproteobacteria; Enterobacterales; Enterobacteriaceae. The record is from RNAcentral.
GGUUAAGCGACUAAGCGUACACGGUGGAUGCCCUGGCAGUCAGAGGCGAUGAAGGACGUGCUAAUCUGCGAUAAGCGUCGGUAAGGUGAUAUGAACCGUUAUAACCGGCGAUUUCCGAAUGGGGAAACCCAGUGUGUUUCGACACACUAUCAUUAACUGAAUCCAUAGGUUAAUGAGGCGAACCGGGGGAACUGAAACAUCUAAGUACCCCGAGGAAAAGAAAUCAACCGAGAUUCCCCCAGUAGCGGCGAGCGAACGGGGAGGAGCCCAGAGCCUGAAUCAGUGUGUGUGUUAGUGGAAGCGUCUGGAAAGGCGCGCGAUACAGGGUGACAGCCCCGUACACAAAAAUGCACAUGCUGUGAGCUCGAUGAGUAGGGCGGGACACGUGGUAUCCUGUCUGAAUAUGGGGGGACCAUCCUCCAAGGCUAAAUACUCCUGACUGACCGAUAGUGAACCAGUACCGUGAGGGAAAGGCGAAAAGAACCCCGGCGAGGGGAGUGAAAAAGAACCUGAAACCGUGUACGUACAAGCAGUGGGAGCACGCUUCGGCGUGUGACUGCGUACCUUUUGUAUAAUGGGUCAGCGACUUAUAUUCUGUAGCAAGGUUAACCGAAUAGGGGAGCCGAAGGGAAACCGAGUCUUAACUGGGCGUUAAGUUGCAGGGUAUAGACCCGAAACCCGGUGAUCUAGCCAUGGGCAGGUUGAAGGUUGGGUAACACUAACUGGAGGACCGAACCGACUAAUGUUGAAAAAUUAGCGGAUGACUUGUGGCUGGGGGUGAAAGGCCAAUCAAACCGGGAGAUAGCUGGUUCUCCCCGAAAGCUAUUUAGGUAGCGCCUCGUGAAUUCAUCUCCGGGGGUAGAGCACUGUUUCGGCAAGGGGGUCAUCCCGACUUACCAACCCGAUGCAAACUGCGAAUACCGGAGAAUGUUAUCACGGGAGACACACGGCGGGUGCUAACGUCCGUCGUGAAGAGGGAAACAACCCAGACCGCCAGCUAAGGUCCCAAAGUCAUGGUUAAGUGGGAAACGAUGUGGGAAGGCCCAGACAGCCAGGAUGUUGGCUUAGAAGCAGCCAUCAUUUAAAGAAAGCGUAAUAGCUCACUGGUCGAGUCGGCCUGCGCGGAAGAUGUAACGGGGCUAAACCAUGCACCGAAGCUGCGGCAGCGACACUAUGUGUUGUUGGGUAGGGGAGCGUUCUGUAAGCCUGUGAAGGUGUGCUGUGAGGCAUGCUGGAGGUAUCAGAAGUGCGAAUGCUGACAUAAGUAACGAUAAAGCGGGUGAAAAGCCCGCUCGCCGGAAGACCAAGGGUUCCUGUCCAACGUUAAUCGGGGCAGGGUGAGUCGACCCCUAAGGCGAGGCCGAAAGGCGUAGUCGAUGGGAAACAGGUUAAUAUUCCUGUACUUGGUGUUACUGCGAAGGGGGGACGGAGAAGGCUAUGUUGGCCGGGCGACGGUUGUCCCGGUUUAAGCGUGUAGGCUGGUUUUCCAGGCAAAUCCGGAAAAUCAAGGCUGAGGCGUGAUGACGAGGCACUACGGUGCUGAAGCAACAAAUGCCCUGCUUCCAGGAAAAGCCUCUAAGCAUCAGGUAACAUCAAAUCGUACCCCAAACCGACACAGGUGGUCAGGUAGAGAAUACCAAGGCGCUUGAGAGAACUCGGGUGAAGGAACUAGGCAAAAUGGUGCCGUAACUUCGGGAGAAGGCACGCUGAUAUGUAGGUGAAGUCCCUCGCGGAUGGAGCUGAAAUCAGUCGAAGAUACCAGCUGGCUGCAACUGUUUAUUAAAAACACAGCACUGUGCAAACACGAAAGUGGACGUAUACGGUGUGACGCCUGCCCGGUGCCGGAAGGUUAAUUGAUGGGGUUAGCGCAAGCGAAGCUCUUGAUCGAAGCCCCGGUAAACGGCGGCCGUAACUAUAACGGUCCUAAGGUAGCGAAAUUCCUUGUCGGGUAAGUUCCGACCUGCACGAAUGGCGUAAUGAUGGCCAGGCUGUCUCCACCCGAGACUCAGUGAAAUUGAACUCGCUGUGAAGAUGCAGUGUACCCGCGGCAAGACGGAAAGACCCCGUGAACCUUUACUAUAGCUUGACACUGAACAUUGAGCCUUGAUGUGUAGGAUAGGUGGGAGGCUUUGAAGUGUGGACGCCAGUCUGCAUGGAGCCGACCUUGAAAUACCACCCUUUAAUGUUUGAUGUUCUAACGUUGACCCGUAAUCCGGGUUGCGGACAGUGUCUGGUGGGUAGUUUGACUGGGGCGGUCUCCUCCUAAAGAGUAACGGAGGAGCACGAAGGUUGGCUAAUCCUGGUCGGACAUCAGGAGGUUAGUGCAAUGGCAUAAGCCAGCUUGACUGCGAGCGUGACGGCGCGAGCAGGUGCGAAAGCAGGUCAUAGUGAUCCGGUGGUUCUGAAUGGAAGGGCCAUCGCUCAACGGAUAAAAGGUACUCCGGGGAUAACAGGCUGAUACCGCCCAAGAGUUCAUAUCGACGGCGGUGUUUGGCACCUCGAUGUCGGCUCAUCACAUCCUGGGGCUGAAGUAGGUCCCAAGGGUAUGGCUGUUCGCCAUUUAAAGUGGUACGCGAGCUGGGUUUAGAACGUCGUGAGACAGUUCGGUCCCUAUCUGCCGUGGGCGCUGGAGAACUGAGGGGGGCUGCUCCUAGUACGAGAGGACCGGAGUGGACGCAUCACUGGUGUUCGGGUUGUCAUGCCAAUGGCACUGCCCGGUAGCUAAAUGCGGAAGAGAUAAGUGCUGAAAGCAUCUAAGCACGAAACUUGCCCCGAGAUGAGUUCUCCCUGACUCCUUGAGAGUCCUGAAGGAACGUUGAAGACGACGACGUUGAUAGGCCGGGUGUGUAAGCGCAGCGAUGCGUUGAGCUAACCGGUACUAAUGAACCGUGAGGCUUAACCUU